UACGUAGGGUCCAAGCGUUGUCCGGAUUUAUUGGGCGUAAAGAGCUCGUAGGCGGUUCCGUAAGUCGGAUGUGAAAACUCGGGGCUCAACCCCGAGACGCCAUCCGAUACUGCGGUGACUUGAGUCUGGUAGGGGAACACGGAAUUCCUGGUGUAGCGGUGAAAUGCGUAGAGAUCCGGAAGAACACCGGUGGCGAAGGCGGCCUGCUGGGCAGUUUAGCUGACACUGAGGCGCGACAGCGUGGGGAGCAAACAGG
Molecule: ribosomal RNA, 256 nt
Filed under: uncultured bacterium
Lineage: Bacteria
Description: partial 16S ribosomal RNA
Rfam family: Bacterial small subunit ribosomal RNA
Source: RNAcentral